AGGUGCCUUCGGUAAAGCUAAGGGGAUCUUCAAGCCAAAGCCAGGGAAAUCAAAAGGAAAACCUACGCCUGCUAACAAGACUGGUCUAAUCAAUGGCAAAAAGAAGGAUGGAAAUGGUAAAACCACUGUGGACACCUUUGCUAAUGCGGCUUUUACUGGGUAUUCUAACUCAGGAGAAGUUGAACGAAUGGAACCAUCUAGCAGACCUGGCCAGAUAAAAGGUCCUCACAACCUGGUAUACGCAGACACGGACUUCGUGGGCACCCAACCCAUCAUGCACCCUGCUGAGAACCCAACCACCUACGCCAGCAUUGCCUUUGGGCAGGUGGGACCUCCAGUUGAAUAUGACAAUGAUGAAGAGGACGGCCAUUCGAACAGUUCCUAAAGCUAAAUAGCUUAACAAUCUGCAAGAUAACCCCUGUGCUGCUCAGUAAGUCAGCGGAAAACUUGUGGCUUGGAACUCGACAUAUUCAAGUACUUAAGUCGCUUUCACACGGUAAGCUUGUCGAAUGAAAGGAUGAAUCGCGCUUUUUCAUGCGACUGUAACAUUUAACAGAUCGCACAGUUUGAACCUGAUUGAUGACUUCAUCAAUUUGUCGAAUUUAGCCAGUUCAGCGAGACGUGUAAACGCGGCUUUAUGCAGGUAUAUGUAUCUUUGUGUUAUUUUUUCUUCUUCCUUACCAUCGAAUGAAGUAUUAAUUGGAAGGAUGAAUUUGUUAACUACACGGUUUAGGGCCAUAUUAAUUGGCCUGAACAAAAAAGUGCUACUAACAGCGAUAUAAUUACAGCCGGACUAUAGAGACCUGUCCCUAUACUGACUUUUGCCUGUAAAUUGCACUGAAGUAAACCUUGUCGGUGUAGAGAGUGGCUGCUAGAUAUGACUUUUCUAAGGUUAAACAGAGUGUUGUCCGAAAAUUUAUUUUUGUUCAAAAUAGUAUGUUUGUUUUUCGUCCUCACACAACAAGAUGAAAAUCAAUGCAAAGAUUUCUCUGACGAUGUAACUCCAGACUUUGUUAAUAUCACUCAUACAUCAAAACAACAGCGGUUGAACGCAUAGGGCAUCACAUAAUAUGAGGGCCGUCGUCGGCAUUGAAAUAAUGCAUGUAUAUACUAACUCGUGUUAGCGGAAGUGUUAUUUUUUUCUUUAUUUCAUUUUUAUCCCAUAAACAAGAGAAAUUAUUAAACUAAACAUGAACAAUGUAAUUCGUGUAUAUUUUCAUUGUCUUUUUCAUUGUAAGUUUGGUUGUUCUUUGAUAAUUUGUAAAUGUAGUUCGGAGGUCCUAUACGUGAUCGGAUAGGCUGAUCUGAUGUUGUUGCUGAGCGUGACAGUUUAGCGCAUAUCGAUAUUGGCCUCUCCUAGAUGCAUCUGUGCGUCUAUUACUCCCACAAAUUUCACUGUAAACUGCAGUGCGUUGUGUAUUGUUCUUUGAGUUGAUAAAUGUGUUUAUUUCGUGUGUAUUCUCAGCAUGAGAUGUUUGACAUGAUUUGUUAGCACAUGCAUAUAUGUAUAUGAUAUUGAACAAAUUACUUUUAAGGUAUUUUAAUUUAGCCGAAUGCAGUUUGAACAAAAGCAAGCCUUAAGGGGCAUAUACUUACUACACAUAUUACACCAUGUUUAAACAGGAUUUAUAAGCGAUAAUUUUAAACACAUUAGUUUAAACAUUUACCUAGAAUUUGAGAUAUGCGUCAUAAUGUAUUUGGAUGCAAGCUGUGAUGUGCUGAUAUGUUCACACAUUCAUAUUACAGAUGUAGUUUUAUAUUAUAAGAUACGUUCUAUUUUCUACA
Liolophura sinensis is the source of this 1785-nucleotide long non-coding RNA. RefSeq lists it as uncharacterized. The record is from RefSeq and is a predicted model, not a curated record. Lineage: Eukaryota; Metazoa; Mollusca; Polyplacophora; Chitonida; Chitonidae. The transcript is spliced from 4 exons.